Molecule: ribosomal RNA, 250 nt
Filed under: uncultured archaeon
Lineage: Archaea
Description: partial 16S ribosomal RNA
Rfam family: Archaeal small subunit ribosomal RNA
Source: RNAcentral
UACUCCGGGGGUAGGGGUGAAAUCCUGUAAUCCUUGGAGGACCACCGGUGGCGAAGGCGUCAAACUAGAACGGAUCCGACGGUGAGGGACGAAGCCGUGGGGCACAAACCGGAUUAGAUACCCGGGUAGUCCACGGUGUAAACGCUGCGGGCUUGGUGUUGGGGGUCCUAAGGGGGCGCCCAGUGCCGGAGAGAAAUUGUUAAGCCUGCCGCCUGGGGAGUACGGUCGCAAGACUGAAACUUAAAGGAAU